Molecule: ribosomal RNA, 301 nt
Filed under: uncultured bacterium
Lineage: Bacteria
Description: partial 16S ribosomal RNA
Rfam family: Bacterial small subunit ribosomal RNA
Source: RNAcentral
CAGUCGCCGCGGUAAAACGGAGGGUGCAAGCGUUAAUCGGAAUUACUGGGCGUAAAGCGCACGCAGGCGGUCUGACAAGUCAGAUGUGAAAUCCCCGGGCUUAACCUGGGAACUGCAUUUGAAACUGUCAGGCUGGAGUCUUGUAGAGGGGGGUGGAAUUCCAGGUGUAGCGGUGAAAUGCGUAGAGAUCUGGAGGAAUACCGGUGGCGAAGGCGGCCCCCUGGACAAAGACUGACGCUCAGGUGCGAAAGCGUGGGGAGCAAACAGGAUUAGAUACCCCAGUAGUCCCUGUCUCUUAUAC